UCAUGAAGAAAAUGCAAGCUGGUAAAUAAAAAUCAUUAUUUUUAAGCNUAAAGAACUUGGCGGUGUUUUAUNUAAUCAGGGGAACCUGUUCCUUAAUUCGAUAGUACACGAACAUCUUUCCACUAUUUGAAAUUCAGCAUGUGUACUGCCGUCAAAAAUAUACCUUAAAAAGAGUAUAUAAUAAUAAUAUUAUUAUCAAAUAUGUCAGGUCAUAGUACAGCUAAUAUAGUGGUGGAAAAUAUGGGUUACAUUCAAUAUAUAGAUCCAACAACAGACUUAAAACCUGUCAAAAGCUGGACUUGAUAGUAAUGAUUGGAAAAUAUACAACCAUGAAAAUAGAUCUAAAACAUGCACAAAUCGCCCGUCACUCUCAUCGAAAGACG
RNAcentral lists this ribosomal RNA (383 nucleotides) under Ainudrilus pauciseta. Its description in RNAcentral is "partial 12S ribosomal RNA". It matches the Rfam family "Bacterial small subunit ribosomal RNA", at positions 874 to 1415 of the family's 1533-position model. Lineage: Eukaryota; Metazoa; Annelida; Clitellata; Tubificida; Naididae. The record is from RNAcentral.